GCAGCACCCGGGAAGCCCUUCAGAGCGCCUUCCCCUGCGGGCCGCGCAGCGGUGGCAGCAGCAGAGGCGGCGGCGCCUGAGCCUGAGCGGGGAUGUAGAGUAGGAGGAGGCGGCGGCGGCGGCGAGAACAGGGCCGGAGCCGAGGGAGAAGAGCAGCAGGACCUUGUUCCCCGAAGCGAGGCCCCGAGUGCCAGCCCUGCUCAGCCCGUGCCCAGCCAUGCGUGCCGCCUGCGGAGUCCAGGCGGCUUACGCUGCGCCCUCCGCCAGCCAGUCGCUCUUCGCUUGGCUGGGGGUGAUUAGUUGCUUUUUGUUGUUUUUUAAUGUGGGCCAGGGGAGGGGGAGGAGGAGCAGGUGCUGCAGGCUCCACCCCCACCUCCCCGCCUCUGGCCAGCUGGGGCGACGUGACUUCGGCUGCGUUGCCUCCGGCACGGCGCGCGCCGGCGCCGCGGCUAGAGCGCGGCUGGAGGGGAGCACACCGCGGAGGCAGUGCCCAGAGAGGUGCGCAUCUCUCCGCCCCGCCCCUCCCCCUCGGCCUCGUGGCGGCGGCGGCGGUGGCAGCAGCAGUAGCGGUGCUGGCGGCUUGGAGAACUGGAGAGCCGGGCAGCCCAGAUCUGAGUCGAGUCUGAGACCUACACCACAGCUCACAGCAACACGGAAUCCUUAACCCACUGAGCUAGGCCAGGGAUCGAACUUGCGUCCUCAUGCAUACGAGUCAGAUUCAUUUCCACUGAGCCACGACAGGAACUCCCUAAAUAUAUUUGUUAAUAAACCAAUGGUUCUCCAGACUUUUCAGCAUACUGAGUGCUAAAGCAAACAAGAGGUAAUUGCUCCUUAUUUUUAGAACAGUAGCUUUGCACUAUAUGUAGCUGUUGCAGAUUACAUAUUUAAAUUAUAUUGCAUGUCUUUUUUGGUAAUAGAUUUUGUUUUAUGAAUUUGUGUCAAAACAGAAAUAAUACUUUGAAAUAAAUUUGCUUUUUAAUCCUUCGUCUGUGAAUACCUAAAUUUUGCAGUGAAGAAUUUAAAAAGCUGCAAGGAUAUUCCUAUUUGAAAUGUAAAAUAAGUGACUUAGAUUCAAUAAUUAGGAAUUUUCUUGGCACUGUUAAACUUCAAUUUUUAAUGCUAUUUUAUUCUUGCAGAUUCUUCUCAAAAUAUGUUGGUGGCUUGAGAGAUGUCAUGACCAAGUGGUGAUCUAUACAGAAGGUAGGUUAGAAAGCUUUAACUCCUAUGUCCAUGAAUUAGCCAACUUUUUCCCCUUUUUUUUCAAGUUUUUUUAAAGUAUAAUUGACUUAGAAGUUGGUGAUAAUUUCUGCUCUACAGCAAAGUGAUUCAGUUACAGAUUCUUUUCCCACAGAGAUGAUCCCAGAAUAUUGGGUAGAGUUCCCUGUGCUAUACAACAGGUCCCCGUUGGCCAAUCAUUCCAUAUUCCUCAGUGUAAUUAGCAAACUUUUAUAAAACACUUUUCAUCAGGGAAUAGAAUAUUGGGAAUGUGGUCUGACUUCACCCCUCAGUCUUGCCUGCAAGACUUUUCAUUGCCAUUGGAGAAACACCUCAAGAUAUGUGGAGGCUGUCAGAGGGGAGAAGUGCAAGGGGUUCCAGACAACCAUAGCACAGGGGACCAGCCCUCCGUGGGGAAGUAGGGAGUAAGAAGUGUUUAGGAAAAAGGCUCAAGCAUGGGGGUAUUCUCCUUGGGGUGCCAGAGUCAGCUGAUUAAGAUGAGAUCAUUCCCACGUCCAUGUUCUCCAGCCAAAAUCCAGCAGGAACACACCUGAGAACAAGUGGAAUCUAGAACAAGUUGGGUUUCUUCCUCAUUGCCGUGAGUGUCUCAGGAGGAGGAUGUUAGAAGAAAGCUACUGCAGGAUUUGGGCUUAGGUCGGGUGAUUUGAGGGAGAGCCUGAAAGUGGUGGGUCAUUUAGAUCAGAUGCUGAAAGCCAGGGCAAUUCUGUGAUUCAUCUCUCAAUGAAUCUUACUGACAGGAGGGAAGAUGAUGGGUAGGAAAGAGCCGUUCCUGGAAACAAAGUAGCCGUCAUUCAUUUUAACCAAAAGAAUGGAGUGUUUGGGGGGUGGCACAGUGACCUUUUUUUUUUUUUUUUUUUCCUGUACUUAGAAAACAAUUAUGAAUUGCCAUCAUUUUGUCUCACUUUAUCAUGCUCUCCAAGUAAUCUUACUUGGUGUAGGUAUUCUCUGAUACUUCUUGGUAUUUAUGUCCAGGCUCACUUGUGGAUAGCAGCAAGGCCAUUGUUUUUGUUUUUGUUUUCCCCUCACAAGGAACAUGAAGCAUGAGGGAGGCUUUUAGCUUGAAUUGGAAGACAUCCUUCUAGAAUGUUAGCAAUCAGUGAAAAAGUACAGGUCUUCUUGGCACACCCACUCCAUGUAUGAAGAAGAAACGUGAACAGAAGAAGCACAUUCAGCUCAUUGCUGGCUUGCAUGUAUUUUCUAAGAUUUGUUUAAAUGCCUCUACUCUCAAGUUUUAUAUUUGUUGUAUUUUGAUGUACUAUUCAUAAAUGUUAAAAACACCAGUCAGAUUUCAGUUCAUCCAUCCUCCCGUAAGGAUUGUCUCAGCCUGGAGCUGUGGAUUCUCUUGGCUUAGAAUUUAAACCCCUAUCACUACCCCUCCCAGCUCGAUUGAUUAGAAAACUGGGGCAGUGAUAUCAGAGUGGAAUGAGAGAAAACCAAGAAAUCAUCCAUUACAAACAUUGUCCAUAAAGUCUGCUCCUAAUUUGAAUACAAAGUGUUUUAAUAAGCAAGAAUUUGACCACUGCUGGAGUUCCCUUGGUGGCGCAGUGGAAAUGAAUCCAACUAAAAAGUAUGUGGUUGCGGGUUCAAUCCCUGGCCUCCAUCAGUGGGUUAAGGAUCUGCUGUUGCCAUGAGCCGUGGUAUAGGUCACAGACUUGGCUCGAAUCUGAUGUGGCUGUGGUGUAGGCCGGCAGUUGUAGCUCUGAUUGGACCCCUAACCUGGAAACCUCCAUAUGCUGCAGGUGUGGCCCUUAAAAGCAAAAAAAAAAAAAAAAAAAAA
RNAcentral lists this long non-coding RNA (3013 nucleotides) under Sus scrofa (pig). RNAcentral describes it as "lncRNA (ENSSSCG00065061343.1)". Lineage: Eukaryota; Metazoa; Chordata; Mammalia; Artiodactyla; Suidae. The record is from RNAcentral.